GAUGAACGCUGGCGGCGUGCCUAAUACAUGCAAGUCGAGCGAACAGACGAGGAGCUUGCUCCUCUGACGUUAGCGGCGGACGGGUGAGUAACACGUGGAUAACCUACCUAUAAGACUGGGAUAACUUCGGGAAACCGGAGCUAAUACCGGAUAAUAUAUUGAACCGCAUGGUUCAAUAGUGAAAGACGGUUUUGCUGUCACUUAUAGAUGGAUCCGCGCCGCAUUAGCUAGUUGGUAAGGUAACGGCUUACCAAGGCGACGAUGCGUAGCCGACCUGAGAGGGUGAUCGGCCACACUGGAACUGAGACACGGUCCAGACUCCUACGGGAGGCAGCAGUAGGGAAUCCUCCGCAAUGGGCGAAAGCCUGACGGAGCAACGCCGCGUGAGUGAUGAAGGUCUUCGGAUCGUAAAACUCUGUUAUUAGGGAAGAACAAAUGUGUAAGUAACUAUGCACGUCUUGUCGGUACCUAAUCAGAAAGCCACGGCUAACUACGUG
RNAcentral lists this ribosomal RNA (497 nucleotides) under uncultured bacterium. Its description in RNAcentral is "partial 16S ribosomal RNA". It matches the Rfam family "Bacterial small subunit ribosomal RNA", at positions 28 to 507 of the family's 1533-position model. The record is from RNAcentral.